Molecule: long non-coding RNA, 2898 nt
Organism: Pantherophis guttatus
Lineage: Eukaryota; Metazoa; Chordata; Lepidosauria; Squamata; Colubridae
Source: RefSeq, a predicted model, not a curated record
CAUGGUGAAGGGGCUGAUGUUUUUGUGCUCAUGAGGAUUCUCCUUCAUUUUCUUCAUCAAGGAUUCAACUUCUGACCGGGUGCCUUCAAAACGGUUUCUUGUCUGCAUUUAAAGAUUAAUGGAAAAUGAGUAAAAAAUAUUUCAGCCAAGCUUUAAAUGCACAGAAUACUAUUUAAAGGUUAAAUGAGAAACAAGACUGGCCCAAGAAUGAAUGCUACCUGAGGCAGAACUGCAAAUGAAGAAGACCCAUACCAACCAGAUUUUUCAGUGAUAUGAGACAGAACAGCCUUCAAGAAUUUCAUCUCUAAAUCAGAAGAUGUCCAACAAUUCUGAAUUAGCAGACUACUGCACUCUGCAUGGGGCUACCCAGAGAAGAAGAAGUGCUUGACAAACCACAAAUAUUUACUUACUGGUUCCACAAACUCAAACAUCUUUCUCUCCUGAACUUCUUGUACUUUGAAGACAUACUCAAGAGAAACUUCAUAAAAGUGCUGCCUGACCAGGUCCACCUGGGUGUCUGCCUGUCAGUCGUCAUGUGGAAAGAAAAUAAAAGAAAAAGAAAAUAAAGCAAGUAAUUAACUGUGAGCAUUUGACAUCAAGAUUAUACAAAGGCUGUUCGCUUGUACAGAACUUUCCCAAUUAAGUAUAUUUAAUUCUAGAAGUCUAUGGAGCAAAGGGCUAAGCUCUUAAGAAAGAUUGCCUUGUCUGUCCAAUAGUUAAUGACGUACAAACUGAAGCUGGCAAACUUCCUUAAGUGGAUAGAGUGGUAUUCUAAGAAUCUGAGAUUUCUUCAAGGAUAAUUAAAGAUUUUUCACUGAGGUGAUUGGUACAAGUUGUCAAGUUCCCAUCUCAAAAAUAAUGAUAGCUGAUGGGGUCUGUUCAAACUGAAGCCCUAUAAGCAGAUAAACAUACUUUCUGCUGCCUUCCAAAUGUUUUGGAGUACAACUCCAGGAAUUUUGACAAUCCUGGUUAGCCAUCCAAAGAUUUUUAUAGCAACAGAAUAUGGGGGAGUUCAUUGGGAGAACACCAAAUUGGACAAGAAUGCAGCAUAGAAUACUCUCCCAAAUCCUCUGCAAAGCAGACGCAUUUCAUUGUAAAAUGCAGUUAUUUGGUGUCAGAUAAAAUGAUAAGUAGAAAUUCCAGAGCAUGGGAAUUUUGAGAACUACUGGUCAAAGAAUAAGGGGUUAUUUUCUUAUUCUUAAUUUAAAAAAAAAACAUAUAUAAGUACUUAUUACAAAGAUAUGACCACACUGAAUAUGAUCAGAUUCAUUUGGAGUCUUUUUUACUAUUUGAGAAAGAUGAGAAUGGUGAAAAUAACAAAUAUGGAAAAUAAAAAUCAAGUUAGUACUCAGAGAAAAAGAAUUGCAAUACUAUGGGCCUAAACCUAAUUAUCUGGACAAUUUCUUAUGUAAAAGAUGUCUAAGAAAGAAGAAGAAUCUUUAUUUCUGUUCUUUGCAUACAAGAAUAUGUCUACAAGCUGAAACGAGUUUUUAAAAUUCAUGUGGGACUAACAAAAGGCAACCCACAGACAGAAUAUGUUUCUUUUGAAAGAGGUUUAGAUCAAAAGUUUGGUACCUGUAUAAGAAUUUAUUUAGUUCACUACCAGCAAUCUAAUGUUGGGCUAUAAAAAACUUCAUUUCACACAAUUAUAUUAUGAGCUGAUUGUUAAUUACUCAUCUUUAAUGGCAUGGCUUUAAUGGCUAAGAUUUAGUCUCAGCCUUUCUGGAAGAAGCUCACACCUGAUAUGUUUAUGAAACUACUCAAGUUACGACUUUCAGAUUCCUAAUAUUCUUUAAAGCUCUAUGGCAAAUGGAAUCACACAAGUUUUGAAACCCUUUCUGUUUCUUAAGCACCAUGAAUGCUGUCCCAAAUGUAGCAUGUUUUCAGAUAUCUAACACACCUAUUCAAUUCAAUUCAGUUUAUUAGUCAUAGACCAUAGACCAGAACAAAUAAAAGCACUCAGUGAAUAUCCAAUUAAAAAUUCUAGAAUAAAAUAAUAAAUAAUAGUUAAAAUAUUUGAUGAAUUCCAGUCUGUCAAUUACACAUGGUCUAACUAUACUAAAAUAACAACACACCUAUGAAGUAGCUGGGUUACUCAUGAAAAUCAAAAUCCACAGCUAGAAUUAUUGCAACCAACAAGCCCUUGCACUUGCAUUUGCCCCUAAACUGACCAUCAUUCCCUUCUCAAAGCCCAAUUGAUGACCUAAACCUUCCGUCAUUUAAUACUUGAAAACUUGUAGCCUCCUGUCCCAAAGUUGUAAUCAUUUAGCCCCUCACUCAAAAUCCCAGUGCUUGAAGAAAAUACUGAUCUAGGCAGUAAAGAGAUUUUUAUUUUGGACAAAGGUAAUAAAAGCCAAAAGAGAAGGAACUCUGCAUCUCUAAAGGCAGCCAUUUAUGUUUGAAACAAAAAGAAAAAAGAAAAAAAGAGGGGGAGCUCAAAUCUCUAUAUAGAAAAAUAGCAAACUUUAAUAUAAAAUAUGGACCACAAGAUGGCACCAGUAUUCAAGUAUUACACAGCUUUACAGGGAAUUAGAAAAGCUGUGUGGCUAAAAUUGUCAUCUUGAUGGUCUAGAGAGCAAUGUUUCUCAACCUCAGCAACUUUAAGAUGUGUGGAUUUCAACUGACAGAAUUUCCCAGACAGCAAAAUUACAGCAUUCAUUCUCUACCUUACAAUUCCAAAUCUGAUGGGGGUAGACAGCUGAUUUAAUUAAAAGUAAUGUAAACUCUAACCUGGAAUUUUAGAGUGAAUUUAAAGAGCUCCAAAAUAAACUUGCUUCUUAACAUACAUACUUAAAAGUAUGUACGUUAAGGCUCAACUUUAAGCCUUUCAUUCAACAGCAAUAAAUAAACUUUUGGCUUAGUAGCACAGGCAAACAAAACAGCCAAUUUCACCUCUUG